This 70-nucleotide transfer RNA is filed under the name Bacillota bacterium. RNAcentral describes it as "Firmicutes bacterium (anaerobic digester metagenome) tRNA-Trp". It matches the Rfam family "tRNA". Rfam says of the family: Transfer RNA (tRNA) molecules are approximately 80 nucleotides in length. Their secondary structure includes four short double-helical elements and three loops (D, anti-codon, and T loops). Lineage: Bacteria; Bacillati; Bacillota. The record is from RNAcentral. RNAcentral also lists the same sequence under 1 other name.
GCGGGCGUAGCCUAAGUAAGGCGUCCGGCCCAACCGGAAGAUGGGGGUGCAACUCCCUCCGCCCGCUCCA